RNAcentral lists this ribosomal RNA (1257 nucleotides) under Triticum aestivum (bread wheat). RNAcentral's name for it is "partial small subunit ribosomal RNA". Lineage: Eukaryota; Viridiplantae; Streptophyta; Magnoliopsida; Poales; Poaceae. The record is from RNAcentral.
AUGUACCAGUGCUGGCCUGGUCUACUCAGCACCAACGCCGCCGCCGUCGACAUGCUGUCAAGGCUGUCCGACAGGUUCAACAAGCCCGUCUGCGGCGUCCUGCCGACGGACGGCGCCGUCGUCGACGGGUCGCGCGGAGGGCUCAUCUCCCCGCUGCUGUUCGCGUCGGGAAGGUCGGCCGAGCAGCCCGGAUGCCUGUCGAGUCCGUCCGUCGCCGCGUUCACGCGGGAGACCGAUGGUGACGCGGAGGCCGAGCUGCCGUGCCUGGCGUUCGGAUCGGAGGACGGCUUCCAGGUCUUCUCCUUCGCCGAGAACCGCAUGCGCAGCGACGAAGUCGCGAUGCGGCUGGCGCGCGGCCGCCGGCACGUGCCGUCCCCGCACGGAGGGAAGGUGUUCGUCACGGACAUGUGCGGCCGCCACCCGUGCCACCUCGUCGACCCGUUCACGGGCGAGCGGACGCCGCUCCCCGACCUGCCCGUCCCGCUCUCCGAGGAGGAGCCGAUGGCGGUGCUCGAGACUGACCGGAGCGAGCCCCGGUACCGGCUGUCGACGGACGACGCGUUCGCGUGGGACUGGUCGCCGCACGGCGUCAUCGUUGCGCGCGGCGACACGGUGUUCUUCUGCAAGGCGGGAGGCGACGAGUGGACGCCGGUGCACCGGUCGAGCCACGGCUCGGCCAUGACCGUGAACUACCGCGGCGGCUUCUUCUUCGUGCUCGAGGAGCUGUCGCUGCGCACCGCCGUCAUCGACGCCGAGACCCUGGACCGCUCCGCCGAGAUCGACCCGCCGCCUCGCGACGGCGGCGUACACCUGGCGUUCCUCGUGACCUCCACCGACAACGUGCUCCUGCUGGUGAGCCGCGACGGGUACAGGUCGACCUUCACCCACGCGUACCGCGCGCACAGGCCGCGGCAGGACGGGCCCGUCCAGUGGGAGCAGGUGAAGAACAUCGGCGACCGCGCGGUGUUUGUCGACGGCGCGCACGGCUUCACCGUUCGCGCCGGCGGGCGCGUGAGGAGGAACUGCGUCUACGUGUCCAAGACCGUGGAGCUGGACGACGAUGGCGGCAUGGCGCGCGUGGUCGCCGUGUCUCCGCUGAACGACCUGAGGAAGGUGGCGAUGGCGGAGGGAGGCGAGGCGCUAAGACGCUGCAAGAUAGAGCCGGUGUGGGGAAUAUCGCAUUGGAUGAUCUGUAACCAUGGACCGUCGCCGUCGUUAGGUUCAUCAAAUCAUAGCAAUCUAGCAUUAGAGCACUAA